Molecule: ribosomal RNA, 372 nt
Filed under: uncultured bacterium
Lineage: Bacteria
Description: bacterial SSU rRNA
Rfam family: Bacterial small subunit ribosomal RNA
Source: RNAcentral
AUACGGAGGAUCCGAGCGUUAUCCGGAUUUAUUGGGUUUAAAGGGAGCGUAGGCGGAUGUUUAAGUCAGUUGUGAAAUGUUAAGGCUCAACCUUGAAGUUGCAGUUGAUACUGGACGUCUUGAGGGCAUUAAAUGUGGGCGGAAUGCGUGGUGUAGCGGUGAAAUGCAUAGAUAUCACGAAGAACUCCAAUUGCGAAGGCAGCUCACAAGACUGAUACUGACGCUGAUGCACGAAAGUGUGGGUAUCAAACAGGAUUAGAUACCCUGGUAGUCCACACUGUAAACGAUGAAAACUCGCUGUUUGCGAUAUACAGUAAGUGGCCAAGCGAAAGCGUUAAGUAAUCCACCUGGGGAGUACGCCCGCAACGGUGA